RNAcentral lists this transfer RNA (85 nucleotides) under Equisetum scirpoides. Its description in RNAcentral is "tRNA-Ser". It matches the Rfam family "tRNA". Rfam says of the family: Transfer RNA (tRNA) molecules are approximately 80 nucleotides in length. Their secondary structure includes four short double-helical elements and three loops (D, anti-codon, and T loops). RNAcentral also lists the same sequence under 5 other names. Lineage: Eukaryota; Viridiplantae; Streptophyta; Polypodiopsida; Equisetales; Equisetaceae. The record is from RNAcentral.
GGAGAAAUGGCAGAGUGGUUGAUCGUGACGAUAUCGAAAAUCGUUUUAACUUACGUUAACGAGGGUUCAAAUCCCUCUUUCUCCU